RNAcentral lists this unclassified non-coding RNA (352 nucleotides) under soil metagenome. Its description in RNAcentral is "partial contains 5.8S ribosomal RNA, internal transcribed spacer 2, and large subunit ribosomal RNA". The stretch from base 1 to 120 matches the Rfam family "5.8S ribosomal RNA", at positions 35 to 154 of the family's 154-position model. The record is from RNAcentral.
GAUGAAGAACGCAGCGAAAUGCGAUAAGUAAUGUGAAUUGCAGAAUUCAGUGAAUCAUCGAAUCUUUGAACGCACAUUGCGCCCGCCAGUAUUCUGGCGGGCAUGCCUGUUCGAGCGUCAUUACAACCCUCAGGCCCCCGGGCCUGGCGUUGGGGAUCGGCGGAGCCCCCCGUGGGCACACGCCGUCCCCCAAAUGCAGUGGCGGUCCCGCCGCAGCUUCCAUCGCGUAGUAGCUAACACCUCGCGACUGGAGAGCGGCGCGGCCACGCCGUAAAACACCCAACUCUUCUGAAGUUGACCUCGAAUCAGGUAGGAGUACCCGCUGAACUUAAGCAUAUCAAUAAGCGGAGGA